AUUGAACGCUGGCGGCAGGCCUAACACAUGCAAGUCGAGCGAGCGGCGGACGGGUGAGUAAUGCCUAGGAAUCUGCCUGGUAGUGGGGGAUAACGUCCGGAAACGGGCGCUAAUACCGCGUACCAUAGGAUGAGCCCAAGGGGGAUUAGGUAGUUGGUGGGGUAAUGGCCUACCAAGCCGACGAUCUCUAGCUGGUCUGAGAGGAGGACCAGCCACACUGGAACUGAGACACGGUCCAGACUCCUACGGGAGGCAGCAGUGGGGAAUAUUGCACAAUGGGCGCAAGCCUGAUGCAGCCAUGCCGCGUGUGUGAAGAAGGCCUUCGGGUUGUAAAGCACUUUCAGCGGGGAGGCGUUACCCGCAGAAGAAGCACCGGCUAACUCCGUGCCAGCAGCCGCGGUAAUAC
RNAcentral lists this ribosomal RNA (406 nucleotides) under uncultured bacterium. RNAcentral describes it as "partial 16S ribosomal RNA". It matches the Rfam family "Bacterial small subunit ribosomal RNA", at positions 29 to 526 of the family's 1533-position model. The record is from RNAcentral.